AGCGGGAGCUGGGAGUGAAAAGGUUGGUGGGUUCUGGUGGCGUAAGGUGUAGAAUAGAAGCUCCUCCCAGUUGCUUGAGUACACCUGGGAACUAAGAAAAUAAGAAAUGUAAUGACAAGAAGGCAGCUCAUCAAGCCAAAGCGAUGAUUCAUUUUCUUUUGCUUUUGGAGAAUGUUAGUGAAAGGGAUAUUGGAUAUACAUGUAUAUAUAUAUAUAUAAAG
This 221-nucleotide unclassified non-coding RNA is filed under the name Hevea brasiliensis (rubber tree). Lineage: Eukaryota; Viridiplantae; Streptophyta; Magnoliopsida; Malpighiales; Euphorbiaceae. The record is from RNAcentral.